Molecule: ribosomal RNA, 535 nt
Filed under: uncultured fungus
Lineage: Eukaryota; Fungi
Description: eukaryotic LSU rRNA
Rfam family: 5.8S ribosomal RNA (bases 127-280)
Source: RNAcentral
CACGUUGGUGGCUUUCAUCCAAUACCCUUGUGAACCUUUGGCCUCUUGCUGGCUUUGGCCGGCAGAGGAUUUUUACACACACUCGAAUGUAAUGAAAACUAUUGUCGUGCGCAAGCACUAAUGUACAACUUUCAACAACGGAUCUCUUGGCUCUCGCAUCGAUGAAGAACGCAGCGAAAUGCGAUAAGUAAUGUGAAUUGCAGAAUUCAGUGAAUCAUCGAAUCUUUGAACGCACCUUGCACCCUUUGGUAUUCCGAAGGGUAUGCUCGUUUGAGUGUCAUUGUACUCUCACUCUCUCUGAUCCUUUGGAUUCAGGGAGUGGUGGACUUGGGUGUUUGCUGCUUUCCUUGUGGCUCACCUCAAAUGCGUCAGUGCACCUCUUGGUUGGACAUAGUACGGCGUGAUAAGUAUCUUCGCCGGCACCUCGCGAGAGGGUGGCCGAUCGGGAGCUCUGUGCUUUCAAACUGUCUUCGGACAAUCUCUGACAACUUGACCUCAAAUCGAGUAGGACUACCCGCUGAACUUAAGCAUAUCA